Molecule: ribosomal RNA, 556 nt
Filed under: Fusarium sp. CBG_I13CCH
Lineage: Eukaryota; Fungi; Ascomycota; Sordariomycetes; Hypocreales; Nectriaceae
Description: eukaryotic LSU rRNA
Rfam family: Eukaryotic large subunit ribosomal RNA
Source: RNAcentral
CAGGGAUUGCCCUAGUAACGGCGAGUGAAGCGGCAACAGCUCAAAUUUGAAAUCUGGCUCUCGGGCCCGAGUUGUAAUUUGUAGAGGAUGCUUUUGAUGCGGUGCCUUCCGAGUUCCCUGGAACGGGACGCCAUAGAGGGUGAGAGCCCCGUCUGGUUGGAUGCCAAAUCUCUGUAAAGCUCCUUCGACGAGUCGAGUAGUUUGGGAAUGCUGCUCUAAAUGGGAGGUAUAUGUCUUCUAAAGCUAAAUACCGGCCAGAGACCGAUAGCGCACAAGUAGAGUGAUCGAAAGAUGAAAAGCACUUUGAAAAGAGAGUUAAAAAGUACGUGAAAUUGUUGAAAGGGAAGCGUUUUUGACCAGACUUGGGCUUGGUUAAUCAUCUGGGGUUCUCCCCAGUGCACUUUUCCAGCCCAGGCCAGCAUCAGUUUUCGCCGGGGGAUAAAGGCUUCGGGAAUGUGGCUCCCCCCGGGGAGUGUUAUAGCCCGUUGCGUAAUACCCUGGCGGGGACUGAGGUUCGCGCUUCUGCAAGGAUGCUGGCGUAAUGGUCAUUAACGAC